This 402-nucleotide ribosomal RNA is filed under the name uncultured bacterium. Its description in RNAcentral is "bacterial SSU rRNA". It matches the Rfam family "Bacterial small subunit ribosomal RNA", at positions 355 to 773 of the family's 1533-position model. The record is from RNAcentral.
UAGGGAAUUUUCCACAAUGGACGAAAGUCUGAUGGAGCAACGCCGCGUGCAGGAUGAAGGCCUUCGGGUUGUAAACUGCUUUUAUAUGUGACGAUAAUGACGGUAGCAUAUGAAUAAGGAUCGGCUAACUCCGUGCCAGCAGCCGCGGUCAUACGGAGGAUCCAAGCGUUAUCCGGAAUUACUGGGCGUAAAGAGUUGCGUAGGUGGCAUCGUAAGUCAAUAGUGAAAGCGUGUGGCUCAACCAUACUCACAUUGUUGAAACUGCGAAGCUAGAGGACAAGAGAGGUUAUUGGAAUUCCCAGUGUAGGAGUGAAAUCCGUAGAUAUUGGGAGGAACACCGAUGGCGUAGGCAGAUAACUGGCUUGUUCCUGACACUAAGGCACGAAAGCGCGGGUAGCAAAC